GACGUAGGGAGCAAGCGUUGUCCGGAUUUACUGGGCGUAAAGAGCGCGUAGGCGGCUCGUUAAGUGUGAAGUGAAAUCUCCAGUGCUCAACACGGAAACUGCUUUACAUACUGGCGAGCUUGAGGAAAGCAGAGGUAACUGGAAUUCCCGGUGUAGCGGUGAAAUGCGCAGAUAUCGGGAAGAACACCCGUGGCGAAGGCGGUUCUCUGGGACGGUACUGACGCUGAGACGCGAAAGCGUGGGGAGCGAACAGG
This 254-nucleotide ribosomal RNA is filed under the name uncultured bacterium. Its description in RNAcentral is "partial 16S ribosomal RNA". It matches the Rfam family "Bacterial small subunit ribosomal RNA", at positions 524 to 776 of the family's 1533-position model. The record is from RNAcentral.